RNAcentral lists this ribosomal RNA (387 nucleotides) under uncultured Katablepharidophyta. RNAcentral describes it as "partial small subunit ribosomal RNA". It matches the Rfam family "Eukaryotic small subunit ribosomal RNA", at positions 30 to 432 of the family's 1831-position model. Lineage: Eukaryota; Cryptophyceae; Kathablepharidacea. The record is from RNAcentral.
GCUUGUCUCAAAGAUUAAGCCAUGCAUGUCUAAGUGUAAAUAAGUCUAUACUGUGAAACUGCGAAUGGCUCAUUAAAUCAGUUAUCGUUUAUUUGAUGAUCUCUUACUACUUGGAUAACCGUAGUAAUUCUAGAGCUAAUACAUGCACAAAAUCCCGACUUACGAAGGGAUGUAUUUAUUAGAUACAAACCAACAUCGUGGUGAUUCAUAAUAACUUUGCGAAUCGUAUGGCCUUGUGCCGGCGAUGGUUCAUUCAAGUUUCUGCCCUAUCAGCUUUCGAUGGUAGGGUAUUGGCCUACCAUGGCGUUAACGGGUAACGGAGAAUUAGGGUUCGAUUCCGGAGAGGGAGCCUGAGAAACGGCUACCACAUCCAAGGAAGGCAGCAGG